GGCUCGUUGGUCUAGGGGUAUGAUUCUCGCUUUGGGUGUGAGAGGUCCCGUGUUCAAAUCCUGGACGAGCCC
Molecule: transfer RNA, 72 nt
Filed under: Danio rerio (zebrafish)
Lineage: Eukaryota; Metazoa; Chordata; Actinopteri; Cypriniformes; Danionidae
Rfam family: tRNA
About the family: Transfer RNA (tRNA) molecules are approximately 80 nucleotides in length.
Source: Rfam by way of RNAcentral